This 2481-nucleotide long non-coding RNA is filed under the name Sorghum bicolor (sorghum). RNAcentral's name for it is "long non-coding RNA (SBIC_LNC006006)". Lineage: Eukaryota; Viridiplantae; Streptophyta; Magnoliopsida; Poales; Poaceae. The record is from RNAcentral.
AUACUGCGAGUCCGAUGGCGGCGAUGAUCACCAUCUCUGUACCUGUCUUGUUCAUAUCGCUCCCUACUUCUGCUCUGGUUUCGCCUUCUAUAGUCUCUGUCCUGAUAAUCCUCUCGAUACCUUCACAAAUGGCUAGCACUCAUAUUAAAAAUAAAGAUAAUUCAUUUGAAAUACUAUACCAAUUUUAGUACUAUGAGUAACAGAGCUAUCAUCCCAGCUGAAAAUUUCUUAAGUUAUAUUGUAUAGGUCUAAUUUGGUGCCUUCGUGGUACCAUUUGGGCACUUGAGCAAUAACCAUGAAACACAACACCAUUUUGCAGGGGCCCUUGUAUGCUAUAGCCUAUCACAAAGGUAAUAUGUGCAGCAUACAUUCAUUUUCAUUUCAUAUUUUAUAGUGGAAUAGUAUUCCUUUAAUCCUCUUUAUUUGGCAUUGUAGCAGUUAAACGAGACAACUAGGAGUACAUCUCUACUAAAGUAGUGAAGUGUGCCUAUUCCAUUUAGUGCAAGCAACACUUUUCUUUGUUUAUUGGUUAAUAAGCCUAAACAUGAGCAGUUUGGGAGACAAACAAAUUUAGUACGCAGCAAGAUUCACAAAGUCAAUAAGGGCAUGAGGUCAUAACUAGCUUUUCCUUCAGUGCAUGCAAUUUUGAAACAUCAUACACAAAGGGAACAGAGGGAGUACCAACUAUGUCAUUGUCAAGAUUCAAAUAUGCAGGCUAUUUCUUACCUUGGUCUUGGACUGCGGCUUCUGAAACGACCCCUUGGCUUUGGAUUUUCUUCUGUAAUUCUACCCCUAUGGCUGCAAACACAAACAAGAAGGCAAUGCUUAAUAAGUGAAAUUGCUUUUAGUGUUUUGCCAUUCUCUGAGUUGUAUUGAUGCACUUAAUAGAUAGUAAAAUGAUAGUAUCAACAUAUUUUACAUGAUAGCAAGCGACAUUCUUGAUUAUUGUAAUGGGUGUUUUCUUAGAAAAGAAACAAUAUGAGUUAAACAGGCCAUGUAAUGUGACUUUUGCCCUCUGCUAGAUGUGUAAACAAGUAAUUUGGGUUUGUAUGUCUAAUAGAAACACUCUUACUUGCCAUUUCUAAACUUCAUUCAGACAUAUACAAGUAGAGUCAAAGUUCUUACUUGCCCAUCUAAUAGAUUUCAGUAUUAGAUGGGCAAAUGCAGUAGCAUUUAGAUUACACAAGAAUUUAGAACUUGGUAAUUUUUGUUACCAUAAUUUUAGUCUAGGACAUGAAAAAUCAGGAAUAUAUUUUUAUUGGAGUGCAAGUUGAGAUAUCAGAAGACAUGCAACUGGUGCUUGCAGAUUCUCUCAUGCAGCUGUAUGCAGCUGCUGCAUUUUGGCUUUAAUAGGUGAGACAAGAAUGUGUCUCUUCCGGCCCCCGUGAAAUAUAGUUAUUACUUAUGACUGUUUAGCUAGCUCCAUGCUCUUAGUUUUAUUGGGCAGCUUCAUUUCUGCAAUGCAGCAUCUCAGUUAAAGCAAGUAUCAAUCAUCCAGUUAAUUCUUGUCAAUUGGGACUUAUGAAUUAUGAUAGUUUUAAAAAGCUAUCUCCUAUUCUCAUUUCCAAGACUGGUGUAUUUGUACAGGGAAACAUAAGUUUAGUCACAUUCAAUAUUUCAUGAACACGUAGACUUGUGUCGAUUUCAUGUACAACUCUGUUUGGCAUGCCAUUUUCCCUGUGUUGAUUUUGGGAAGAAAGCAAAUUCUUCUGCUACUUGCAUAGUUAGAAGAUACUAGAUACCAAUUGUUUAAUUUGCCUUAUGGCCGUUUGGGCAGCUGCACAAGCAAUUCCUGAGGAUCUCCUUUCUCUCAAGAGAGAGCAACUCGUCUGCUUCUUUAUGGGAAAGCCAGAUUUAUCCGGGCAUUAGGGGUCAGCCAUUGGUUGUAAUGAACAAGGACUAUGUGGCAGCAAUACUAUUUUUCUCUUCAAUUCUAAUAAUAUGUGUAUUUCUGCAAUUUGUUUAAUUUUUCUUUAUUUUAGUACUGCAGUUUUAGGGCAUGUUUUUAAUUUUUGAACGUUGUCAUUCUAGAUAGUAAAUUUGCUUCUUGGUGGAUUAUUUAUUGGUGAGCGCUAGGGGUACAUUUUAGAUUGGAUUCUUUGUCAUUCCACAGUUUAGCUUAAGCGUGCUGACAAUUCUCAGUUAAGUUGUCGUAACAUUCAAGGUUCAGCUGACAUGCACACUACAACAUAUAUUUAGCUUAAAUUACCCCCUAUCUGUUGCUAUCAUGGGCUCAUGGCUGCACAACCACCACAGUACACAUUAUAUAAAUGAUGGUCAGUAUACUUGCUUUGUCUACAGUUGAUAUGAAUUUGUCUGCCUUUUAGUAUGUAUCUGUAAAAUUUUUGUUUCAUGUUUGUUUUUCUGCUUACCAGGGAAGGGGAAGAUACAAUGUUUACUUCCUUAUGAUUGUUGCCCAAAUUUCUCUACUGUAAACACUACACAGCAGAAGGUGAUCCAUAGCUUCCGGCGCCUGGUCAU